CCUACGGGUGGCAGCAGUGAGGAAUAUUGGUCAAUGGCCGAGAGGCUGAACCAGCCAAGUCGCGUGAGGGAAGACGGCCCUACGGGUUGUAAACCUCUUUUGUCGGGGAGCAAAGAGAGUCACGUGUGACUCAUUGAGAGUACCCGAAGAAAAAGCAUCGGCUAACUCCGUGCCAGCAGCCGCGGUAAUACGGAGGAUGCGAGCGUUAUCCGGAUUUAUUGGGUUUAAAGGGUGCGAAGGCGGAGGUGCAAGUCAGCGGUCAAAUUGUGGGGCUCAACCCCGUACUGCCGUUGAAACUGCAUGCCUUGAGUGCGCGAGAGGUAUGCGGAAUGCGUGGUGUAGCGGUGAAAUGCAUAGAUAUCACGCAGAACUCCGAUUGCGAAGGCAGCAUACCGGCGCGCAACUGACGCUGAUGCACGAAAGCGUGGGUAUCGAACAGGAUUAGAUACCCGUGUAGUC
RNAcentral lists this ribosomal RNA (459 nucleotides) under uncultured bacterium. RNAcentral describes it as "partial 16S ribosomal RNA". It matches the Rfam family "Bacterial small subunit ribosomal RNA", at positions 338 to 795 of the family's 1533-position model. The record is from RNAcentral.